RNAcentral lists this ribosomal RNA (253 nucleotides) under uncultured bacterium. RNAcentral's name for it is "partial 16S ribosomal RNA". It matches the Rfam family "Bacterial small subunit ribosomal RNA", at positions 524 to 776 of the family's 1533-position model. The record is from RNAcentral.
UACGUAGGGUGCAAGCGUUAUCCGGAAUUAUUGGGCGUAAAGAGCUCGUAGGCGGUUUGUCGCGUCUGCUGUGAAAACCCGAGGCUCAACCUCGGGCUUGCAGUGGGUACGGGCAGACUAGAGUGCGGUAGGGGAGACUGGAAUUCCUGGUGUAGCGGUGGAAUGCGCAGAUAUCAGGAGGAACACCGAUGGCGAAGGCAGGUCUCUGGGCCGCAACUGACGCUGAGGAGCGAAGGCAUGGGGAGCGAACAGG